AUGGCUUCCCGGUAAGAAGAAAUAUCCACUUGGUGAAAAACUACCUCGAGGUUAAUUAAUGAUGGAGUCAUUUGUGUUUUGUGUAUUGAGGUCAACAAGAAAAGGAGGCCUCAGGGUUUCCUCUCUUUCAAAAUUAGUGUGAAAAUCUUCAGGGGAACAGAAAGAUAACAAGAAAGAAGUGAGUAAAGCUCACAUACCCCUGUUAUCCCCGUUGGUCAACAACAAAUAGUAAAUAGUUUGUUAAUUAAUGAAAUGUACCUGUUGCUUUAAGUCAGAGGAACUGCCCUUUCCUUUGUAAACCC
This is a long non-coding RNA of Haliotis rufescens (red abalone), 302 nucleotides long. RefSeq lists it as uncharacterized. The record is from RefSeq and is a predicted model, not a curated record. The transcript has 2 exons. NCBI's taxonomy places the organism in Eukaryota, Metazoa, Mollusca, Gastropoda, Lepetellida, Haliotidae.